Long non-coding RNA from Pogoniulus pusillus (Red-fronted tinkerbird), 1827 nucleotides. RefSeq lists it as uncharacterized. The record is from RefSeq and is a predicted model, not a curated record. The transcript is spliced from 4 exons. NCBI's taxonomy places the organism in Eukaryota, Metazoa, Chordata, Aves, Piciformes, Lybiidae.
GCCUCAGAGAGGGGAGCCUUCCCUUCGCGGGCACGGCCAGGGCCUGGGCUUCUUGCCUCAGACUUUAUCUGCCUCACGUCGGAGAGGCCAUGGAAAGGUUCUGCGGCUGUUGUCUCUUUAAAUUCAGGGCCGCUCCCUCAGGCCAUUCCCUGCCUCCCCUCCCCGCCGCGGCCCCUCGCCGGUGCGUGGGCAGGCUGCUGAGGCCGCGCCGGUUGGGAUCACCUGUGAGGUGCCCUCUGGCCGCCGACACAGUGGCUGCUGAGGUUCGGUUGGUUCAUUUGGAUGGUGCACAGGAGAGAGAUCGCUGCAUGCCAUGACAUAAAAAGGCAGGACUACUUUUACCUGCUCCAGUCACAUAUGGCUGAGGAUGCGAAUGUUUUCUUGGCUACAAGGAACAAGCAGGCCGGGCCUUGGCGCCCCCCCCGAGCAGCUGCCUUUUCUCAGGCAGCCCCCGCCCGCUGCAGCUGCACUGCGGCCUGGGAGAUGAGGAGAUGUGGUAGCCCCUGAGGUGAGCGGCUCCGAAGCUAUGAAGGGCUCCGAGGAAGCUGACCAGUUUUGCUGUGUAACAAGAUUUGAUGCUACAAGUUUUUCCACCUGGAAACUGCCAUGUCUUGGUUUAUCAGGGAAAGGCAUUAAAUGCCUCCAUGCUGCAGGCAAGAAUCGUUGCUGAAAGCUGCCCAAGCCAGCAUUGCAUCCCUCUGCACACCUGCAAAUCUCCAUGCCAAGUCCAGAGCCCUGGAAAGGACACAGUCUGCCCAAAGAGGAAUGAAGACCAGGUCAGAGACCAUCUAACCCUCAGCAUCCUGCCAGAGCCCUGAGGAAAACUGCAAAAGCCUCCAACAGACAGAGCAGAAAAGUUUAAUUUGGAUUGAACCAAAAAGGAAAUUAACCAAAUAACAGCAAAAUGUGAUUUCAAGGAAAACAGAAGAUUCGCAUCCUAUGACCUCCUUCAGAGUUGUGCCUUGUUUUUAAAGCCACAGGAAAGCUCAGUGCUACAGAAGGUGAUUAUACAGAAGCCACAAAAUCAAGUAAUGUUUUCAGCCUAUGCAAGAAAUGAAAAUCCUGAAAAUCCAUAAAGCAACAACACUUAAACUCUUUCACCUUACUAGAGAAGAUGAUGUCUUGGGAUAUUCAGGCUGAGAAGACAGGUAUGGGUCCUGCACAGCAUGGGUAGCUGGCUUAGUUGAAGUUGCAGAACUGCUUGCACAGGAAGAAAUUGAUGACAUCAUGACAAGUUCUAAGCUGAACUUUUUCAAGAAGUGCUGAUACUUCAACUGUCCACCUCUGAUGACAUCCACUGAGUCCCAAAGCUUUCCAAACUAAUGAAUGAGCACAAGAUGACUUCUGUAAAUGCUGCUUUACAACAACACCCUCCCCAUAUCUACUAAGGAUUAUGACAGUACAUACAAAAAAGAAAGGGAGGUGAUGCCUUGGAACAGAAGGGGUCCCAGGGCCCACCUUAUUAACAAAAAAAUGAUCACAGCCUCUCUGCAGAAGCUUGCACAAGGCUGGGAAAAAAUGAAAGAACGAUUUCUGCAGGACAUUUUUUAAUUGAAUUGGGCCCUUAGUGUGCUGUUUAAACUACUAAACCCCAUGAUUAGACACAGUGUUUGAGCUGCAGCAUAGGAGAACAAUGCUUUAACACGAGAUGUAAAUCAAAUACAUGGUGCACCUGUAUUUGUACUAGGCACCAUUAAAGCAGAUUUCUCAUGUUAUUAGGUGCACCUAAGUUAUGCCACCAUCUCAGGAGGCCAUUAAGGUUCCUCAGUUAUUGUGUUUGCAUCAACAAAUUAUUUCACCCUCAGGGCAAAAAUGAAUCAGCACAAA